UAAUGUAUUAUUUUUUUGUCAUGUUCUGAAAUCAGACAAAACUAGGUUAGAAGAGUGAAUUAUAUCCAGAUGUCACAUCUAUCCUGUAGCCCAGUUGACUACUAUUCGGAAUAAUUUUUGUGAGCUAUUGCCGAUUGGUUGCACAAUCUAUCAGAAAGAGGAUUGGAGACAAGUGAAGACACUUUAACUUCUUGGCUUGAAGGGAUCAAAGAAACAGAGCAAAUUAUGAUAGAUAAAGAAAUAUGUGAAGCAGUACAAUAAGAAGAAAGCCUGGUAGAAAUAUUGGAGGCACCAACUUCUACAUCUAUAAAAGCUAAACCAGAUAAAGCAUUUAAUUAAACAAUUAAUUGUUUCAAUACCUGCAUAACAUGGGCAGAAGAAAACGGCACAUCUGCCAAAGAUAUACAAGGGACAUGAAAAGACUACAAGCUGCACAAAAGCAUACCGCAAUUAAGGAUUACAUAUUUUAAAACUUACAUACAUGUUAAUUUUGAGAUAUGUUACAGUUACUAUAAAACCUAUCGAACAAGAACACAAAUAUGUACCUACAUACAUUAUAUGUAUUCUCUUUAUGAAA
Dendroctonus ponderosae (mountain pine beetle) is the source of this 577-nucleotide long non-coding RNA. RefSeq lists it as uncharacterized. The record is from RefSeq and is a predicted model, not a curated record. Lineage: Eukaryota; Metazoa; Arthropoda; Insecta; Coleoptera; Curculionidae. The transcript is spliced from 2 exons.